GGCGCCAUGGCCAAGUGGGAAGGCAAAGGUCUGCAACACCUCUACCCCCAGUCCGAAUCUGGGUGGCGCCUCCA
Molecule: transfer RNA, 74 nt
Filed under: Clostridia bacterium
Lineage: Bacteria; Bacillati; Bacillota; Clostridia
Description: tRNA-Cys
Rfam family: tRNA
About the family: Transfer RNA (tRNA) molecules are approximately 80 nucleotides in length. Their secondary structure includes four short double-helical elements and three loops (D, anti-codon, and T loops).
Source: RNAcentral